AGAGUUUGAUCCUGGGCUCAGAUUGAACGCUGGCGGUAUGCUUAACACAUGCAAGUCGAACGGCAGCACGAGAGAGCUUGCUCUCUUGGUGGCGAGUGGCGGACGGGUGAGUAACGCGUAAGAAUCUGCCUAGUAGUGGGGGAUAACUCGAGGAAACUCGAGCUAAUACCGCAUACGCCCUACGGGGGAAAGUGGGGGACCUUCGGGCCUCACGCUAUUAGAUGAGCUUGCGUUGGAUUAGCUAGUUGGUAGGGUAAUGGCCUACCAAGGCGACGAUCCAUAGCUGGUCUGAGAGGACGAUCAGCCACACUGGGACUGAGACACGGCCCAGACUCCUACGGGAGGCAGCAGUCGCGGGAAUAUUGGACAAUGGGCGGAAGCCUGAUCCAGCAAUACCGCGUGUGUGAAGAAGGCCUCCGGGUUGUAAAGCACUUUCAAUUGUGAAGAAAAGCGGGAGGCUAAUACCCUUCUGUCUUGACGUUAACUUUAGAAG
Molecule: ribosomal RNA, 493 nt
Filed under: uncultured Gammaproteobacteria bacterium
Lineage: Bacteria; Pseudomonadati; Pseudomonadota; Gammaproteobacteria
Description: bacterial SSU rRNA
Rfam family: Bacterial small subunit ribosomal RNA
Source: RNAcentral